RNAcentral lists this ribosomal RNA (322 nucleotides) under Carios sp. Gu111. Its description in RNAcentral is "partial 12S ribosomal RNA". Lineage: Eukaryota; Metazoa; Arthropoda; Arachnida; Ixodida; Argasidae. The record is from RNAcentral.
UAGAUACCCUAUUAUUAUAAAAUGAUAAAUUGGGAGUACUUAAAGGUUUGGAAAAACUAAGUAAAAUGGCGGUAUUUUAAUCUUUUUAGAGGAAUUUAUUCUAUAAUUGAUAUAACUCAGGUAUCUUACUUAAUUUGGUAAGGCAGUUUGUAUAUCGCUAUCAUAGUAUAAUGUUAAUAGGCUUUAUUGUAAAUGUUGAUUUUUUUUAAAAAUGUUAGGUCAAAAUGCAGCAUAAAAUUAAGGAUGAAAUAAAUUACAGGAAUUAAUAUUGAUUUUAUUGAAAGUAAAUUAUGGAUUUAAGAGUAAAUUUAAAUUAUAAUGU